GUGCCAGCAGCCGCGGUAAUACGUAGGUGGCAAGCGUUGUCCGGAAUUAUUGGGCGUAAAGCGCGCGCAGGCGGUCCUUUAAGUCUGAUGUGAAAUCACGUGGCUCAACCACGUGCGGUCAUUGGAAACUGGAGGGCUUGAGUGCAGAAGAGGAAAGUGGAAUUCCAAGUGUAGCGGUGAAAUGCGUAGAGAUUUGGAGGAACACCAGUGGCGAAGGCGACUUUCUGGUCUGUAACUGACGCUGAGGCGCGAAAGCGUGGGGAGCAAACAGGAUUAGAAACCCCAGUAGUCC
This 292-nucleotide ribosomal RNA is filed under the name uncultured bacterium. Its description in RNAcentral is "partial 16S ribosomal RNA". It matches the Rfam family "Bacterial small subunit ribosomal RNA", at positions 505 to 796 of the family's 1533-position model. The record is from RNAcentral.